Molecule: non-coding RNA, 1499 nt
Organism: Rattus norvegicus (Norway rat)
Lineage: Eukaryota; Metazoa; Chordata; Mammalia; Rodentia; Muridae
Source: RefSeq, a predicted model, not a curated record
UGUCCAGGCAGGGAAGCCGGUUCCUUGCCAGCAGAAAAAGCACCGCCAGUCAACACAUUCCCAGCACCCUUACCGGCAUCCACAGAGCACUGAGUGAAGAGUUUCUGGUUUCAAAAUGGUCCAGUUCUCGUUAGACCAUGAAAGCCAGCCCUUGUCUUUUCUGAGGAUUCUUCACUUUAUUUCAAUAGAACGUUAAGACUUUACUCAUAAUCUGUGAAUCCUGUGCUCGUGGAUAAAUGCAAAUAUUGCCAUCACCUUCUACUGACAGAAGACUCCGGUGUUACCAUGGAGAACAGUGUUAAUCCUUUUGUAAUUAGAGCUUUAUUUCAGUCUUCGUCGGGCAAGGAUGGAGUCGGAUUUUGUAAUAGAAGACCCGGUUUAUGUGCUGAGAUGGAUCCAAGCCAGACAGAGAGUGAUCGUGAGGACCGAAAAGUGACUUUGAGGACCAGGCUCUCUUCUGAUAGAAGGCCCCAAGAACAUGUCAACAGAGACAUUCAAAGAAGUUGAAGGUCAGCAGGGCCGAGGUUAUGCCAUUUUCACGGCUGAGGUACUGGCAUUUUGGUGUACCACACUCACAUCAACAACAUGUUUGCUCAGUAGAUGAUCCACAAUCUCUGGUCAACGGAGGAACUCAAAACAGUUGUGUAUUGGGAUGGUUUAGGCUGUGCGUGAUAACAAACAGCUCCUGUUCUCAAUGGCUUACAUGGGAUGGAGUUGUUUCUUGUCCUUGCCGCAUGGCCUGCAAGGUAGUCUGGGGUCUCUCUCGGCUUGCCUUUCCCCCACAGGACCCAGGCUGGAAGGCGGAAAUGGAAAGAAAUGCAGACAAUGAAAGGGUCCGGCAUGAAGAGGAUUGCUUCAAGAACACAUUGGCCUGAGCUGGUCAUUUUCCUGCUGCCUCAGAUUCCCAAGCAAGCAAGCCAGGAAGUAAGAUAGUUCAGUGUUUAGAAGGUGCAGAGAGCUGAGAAGGGGAAGGGGGAGGGGAAGAAGGGGUGGAGCUGCCACAGAGAAACUUGUCUCCACACAGCUCAGUGAGGAUGGAGUCCUGGCUGCCACAAGUUGGCCUGUCAGCAGAUUUGUCUCUUCAUUGUCUCAAUGAGCAUCUUUCAAACAUCAGCCUCUAAAUAGAAAUUUCUGAAGUUCAUGAAAUGGGGUAAACAGACUGAUUAUUGAUGAUGACUUGUCCCUUUGGCUACUAGCCAAAUUCUUCUAAAAAUCAUGUUUCUAUUUUGUCUGAUUAUUUUUCUCUAGAGUUUCCCCAGAAGUAUUAACAGAUUUGGGCAGAUAUCUGAGUAGAUUUUUUUCUUUUGAUUUUGAAAGCAAAUGAGUAGACAUUUUGCUGUAGGACAUGGUUGUUUUCUGAUCGGGUGGAGGCUAGUCUGAAUUUUUAUUUGUGUCUUUGAUGCCUGUCUGUCUGACUGACUGUACCUUGCUUGGAAUGAUCUCUUCAUGUUGGUUAUUGUAAGCAUGGAGAGAUGAAUGAAUAAAAACAAUCAAGUCAA